This 255-nucleotide ribosomal RNA is filed under the name uncultured Latescibacterota bacterium. RNAcentral describes it as "uncultured Latescibacteria bacterium partial 16S ribosomal RNA". It matches the Rfam family "Bacterial small subunit ribosomal RNA", at positions 1130 to 1382 of the family's 1533-position model. Lineage: Bacteria; Pseudomonadati; Candidatus Latescibacterota. The record is from RNAcentral.
GCUGGGAACGUCUGGGGAGACUGCCGGUGAUAAACCGGGAGGAAGGCGGGGAUGACGUCAAGUCCUCAUGGCCCUUACAUCCCGGGCUACACACGUGCUACAAUGGCAGGUACAGAGGGCUGCGAAGCCGCGAGGUGGAGCGAAUCCCAGAAAACCUGUCUCAGUCCGGAUUGAAGUCUGCAACUCGACUUCAUGAAGGCGGAAUCGCUAGUAACCGCGAAUCAGCAGGUCGCGGUGAAUACGUUCCCGGGCCUU